RNAcentral lists this ribosomal RNA (497 nucleotides) under uncultured bacterium. RNAcentral's name for it is "partial 16S ribosomal RNA". It matches the Rfam family "Bacterial small subunit ribosomal RNA", at positions 28 to 507 of the family's 1533-position model. The record is from RNAcentral.
GACGAACGCUGGCGGCGUGCCUAAUACAUGCAAGUAGAACGCUGAAGAGAGGAGCUUGCUCUUCUUGGAUGAGUUGCGAACGGGUGAGUAACGCGUAGGUAACCUGCCUUGUAGCGGGGGAUAACUAUUGGAAACGAUAGCUAAUACCGCAUAACAAUGGAUGACACAUGUCAUUUAUUUGAAAGGGGCAAUUGCUCCACUACAAGAUGGACCUGCGUUGUAUUAGCUAGUAGGUGAGGUAACGGCUCACCUAGGCGACGAUACAUAGCCGACCUGAGAGGGUGAGCGGCCACACUGGGACUGUGACACGGCCCAGACUCCUACGGGAGGCAGCAGUAGGGAAUCUUCGGCAAUGGGGGCAACCCUGACCGCGCAACGCCGCGUGAGUGAAGAAGGUUUUCGGGUCGUGAAGCUCUGUUGUAAGUCAAGAACGAGUGUGAGAGUGGAAAGUUCACACUGUGACGGUAGCUUACCAGAAAGGGACGGCUAACUACGUG